This 492-nucleotide ribosomal RNA is filed under the name uncultured bacterium. RNAcentral's name for it is "partial 16S ribosomal RNA". It matches the Rfam family "Bacterial small subunit ribosomal RNA", at positions 29 to 507 of the family's 1533-position model. The record is from RNAcentral.
AGUGAACGCUGGCGGUAGGCCUAACACAUGCAAGUCGAACGGCAGCACAGUAAGAGCUUGCUCUUACGGGUGGCGAGUGGCGGACGGGUGAGGAAUACAUCGGAAUCUACUUUUUCGUGGGGGAUAGCGUAGGGAAACUUACGCUAAUACCGCAUACGACCUACGGGUGAAAGCAGGGGAUCUUCGGACCUUGCGCGAUUGAAUGAGCCGAUGUCGGAUUAGCUAGUUGGCGGGGUAAAGGCCCACCAAGGCGACGAUCCGUAGCUGGUCUGAGAGGAUGAUCAGCCACACUGGAACUGAGACACGGUCCAGACUCCUACGGGAGGCAGCAGUGGGGAAUAUUGGACAAUGGGCGCAAGCCUGAUCCAGCCAUACCGCGUGGGUGAAGAAGGCCUUCGGGUUGUAAAGCCCUUUUGUUGGGAAAGAAAAGCAGCAGGUUAAUACCCCGCUGUUCUGACGGUACCCAAAGAAUAAGCGCCGGCUAACUUCGUG